UACGGAGGGUGCAAGCGUUAUCCGGAUUCACUGGGUUUAAAGGGUGCGUAGGCGGGCAGGUAAGUCAGUGGUGAAAUCUCCGAGCUUAACUCGGAAACUGCCGUUGAUACUAUUUGUCUUGAAUAUUGUGGAGGUAAGCAGAAUAUGUCAUGUAGCGGUGAAAUGCUUAGAUAUGACAUAGAACACCAAUUGCGAAGGCAGCUUACUACACAACGAUUGACGCUGAGGCACGAAAGCGUGGGGAUCAAACAGG
Molecule: ribosomal RNA, 253 nt
Filed under: uncultured bacterium
Lineage: Bacteria
Description: partial 16S ribosomal RNA
Rfam family: Bacterial small subunit ribosomal RNA
Source: RNAcentral